CCUACGGGUGGCUGCAGUGAGGAAUAUUGGUCAAUGGCCGAAAGCCUGAACCAGCCAAGUCGCGUGAGGGACGACUGCCCUAUGGGUUGUAAACCUCUUUUGUAUGGGAGGAAUAAGUUCUACGUGUAGCAUGAUGCCUGUACCUUAUGAAUAAGCAUCGGCUAACUCCGUGCCAGCAGCCGCGGUAAUACGGAGGAUGCGAGCGUUAUCCGGAUUUAUUGGGUUUAAAGGGUGCGUAGGCGGCUUUUUAAGUUAGUGGUUAAAUGUCGGGGCUUCACCUCGCUACGCCAUUAAUACUGUAAGACUAGAGAUCAGACGAGGUAGGCGGAAUAAGUUAAGUAGCGGUGAAAUGCUUAGAUAUAACUUAGAACACCGAUAGCGAAGGCAGCUUACCAGACUGAGACUGACGCUGAUGCACGAGAGCGUGGGUAGCGAACAGGAUUAGAUACCCGAGUAGUC
RNAcentral lists this ribosomal RNA (459 nucleotides) under uncultured bacterium. RNAcentral describes it as "partial 16S ribosomal RNA". It matches the Rfam family "Bacterial small subunit ribosomal RNA", at positions 338 to 795 of the family's 1533-position model. The record is from RNAcentral.